GGUUUGAGUUCUGAUUGCUGCCAGAACCACCGCCGGGACUACCGUUGCUUGAUUUGGCCGUUCUUUCUUAGUUUUGUGUUGCUGUGGUUACCGCGGGAGUGGCUUGGAGCCAAGGUUGCGUUGUUGGUGAUCUCGGUUUAAGAGAGGAGGUUCUUGUGACGCGUUUGGGUUAUGGAAUUGCGUUUUGAGGAUAUGGGCGCAGAAGUUAUGAAGAGUUUAUUUAGUUGUUGAGAUGCUUUGUAUUGCCUUAGAUUAUUUACUGUACCCUCGCCUUUAUCUUGAUAUAUUCUGUAAGAGGGAUAGGGAUUGUAUUGGUUAAAGCUUGUAAUAUUAUCUAUGUAUAUAUGAGUAUAUAUGUAUGUAUAUGGAUGUACUCUUUAUGAGUUUUUGUAAGUUGUAUGGUAUCUAU
Non-coding RNA from Arachis ipaensis, 409 nucleotides. The record is from RefSeq and is a predicted model, not a curated record. Lineage: Eukaryota; Viridiplantae; Streptophyta; Magnoliopsida; Fabales; Fabaceae.